UAAUGGGGUAGAGGCGCAAAGCGGAUGAGUAGGAUGAUGGAGUGAAUGGACAUGAUGAAAUCAUUUUAAAGGCCAAUUUGCCGAAGUGUGGGAAUGAUCCAUCCAUUCUCAUGCUGGGCCGCUGCCGAACAGACAGCGGACUGUCACUGCAAUGCUUGCAGUGGAGAACUAUUCCGGCA
This 179-nucleotide non-coding RNA is filed under the name Fictibacillus enclensis. Its description in RNAcentral is "Lysine sequence". It matches the Rfam family "Lysine riboswitch aptamer". Rfam says of the family: Riboswitches are metabolite binding domains within certain messenger RNAs that serve as precision sensors for their corresponding targets. The record is from Rfam by way of RNAcentral. Lineage: Bacteria; Bacillati; Bacillota; Bacilli; Caryophanales; Fictibacillaceae.